GUGGGUAUAGCUCAGUUGGUAAGAGUGCUUGACUCACAUGUAUGAGGCCCUGGGUUCAAUCCCCAGCACCAAUG
Molecule: transfer RNA, 74 nt
Filed under: Ictidomys tridecemlineatus (thirteen-lined ground squirrel)
Lineage: Eukaryota; Metazoa; Chordata; Mammalia; Rodentia; Sciuridae
Description: Spermophilus tridecemlineatus (thirteen-lined ground squirrel) tRNA
Rfam family: tRNA
About the family: Transfer RNA (tRNA) molecules are approximately 80 nucleotides in length.
Source: Rfam by way of RNAcentral